UACGAAGGGUGCGAGCGUUAUUCGGAUUGAUUGGGCGUAAAGGGUGCGCAGGCGGCAAGUUAAGUCAAUCGUCAAAUUUCCCGGCUCAACCGGGAGUCGGCGGCAGAUACUGGCUUGCUAGAGGGUGGAAGAGAGAAGUGGAAUUCUCGGAGUAGCGGUAAAAUGCGUAGAUCUCGAGAGGAACACCGAUGGCGAAGGCAGCUUCUUGGCCCACUCCUGACGCUCAUGCACGAAAGCGUGGGGAGCAAACAGG
This 253-nucleotide ribosomal RNA is filed under the name uncultured bacterium. RNAcentral describes it as "partial 16S ribosomal RNA". It matches the Rfam family "Bacterial small subunit ribosomal RNA", at positions 524 to 776 of the family's 1533-position model. The record is from RNAcentral.